RNAcentral lists this non-coding RNA (22 nucleotides) under Arabidopsis thaliana (thale cress). The record is from RNAcentral. Lineage: Eukaryota; Viridiplantae; Streptophyta; Magnoliopsida; Brassicales; Brassicaceae.
UAUCUAUAGUUAGUGUCUGCGC